RNAcentral lists this ribosomal RNA (296 nucleotides) under Neosisyphus rubrus. Its description in RNAcentral is "partial 16S ribosomal RNA". Lineage: Eukaryota; Metazoa; Arthropoda; Insecta; Coleoptera; Scarabaeidae. The record is from RNAcentral.
UAUUUUGAUUGUGCAAAGGUAGCAUAAUAAUUAGUUUUUUAAUUGAGAACUAGUAUGAAUGGUUGGACGAGAAAAAAGCUGUCUCAAUUUAAUUUUAAUUAGAAUUUUAUUUUUAAGUUAAAAAGCUUAAAUAUUUUUAAAAGACGAGAAGACCCUAUAGAGUUUUAUAAAUAUUUUAUUUUAAAUAAUUUUAGUAUUUUAUUUAUUAAUUAUUAUUAUAUUUAUUUAGUUGGGGUGACUAAAAAAUUUAAUUAACUUUUUUUAUUAAUUAACAUUGAUUUAUGAAUAAUUGAUCC